This 429-nucleotide ribosomal RNA is filed under the name Acidobacteriota bacterium. RNAcentral's name for it is "Acidobacteria bacterium partial 16S ribosomal RNA". It matches the Rfam family "Bacterial small subunit ribosomal RNA", at positions 355 to 776 of the family's 1533-position model. Lineage: Bacteria; Pseudomonadati; Acidobacteriota. The record is from RNAcentral.
UGGGGAAUUUUGGACAAUGGGGGAAACCCUGAUCCAGCCAUCCCGCGUGUGCGAUGAAGGCCUUCGGGUUGUAAAGCACUUUUGGCAGGAAAGAAACGUCAUGGGUUAAUACCCCGUGAAACUGACGGUACCUGCAGAAUAAGCACCGGCUAACUACGUGCCAGCAGCCGCGGUAAUACGCAGGGUGCAAGCGUUAAUCGGAAUUACUGGGCGUAAAGCGUGCGCAGGCGGUUCGGAAAGAAAGAUGUGAAAUCCCAGAGCUCAACUUUGGAACUGCAUUUUUAACUGCCGGGCUAGAGUGUGUCAGAGGGAGGUGGAAUUCCGCGUGUAGCAGUGAAAUGCGUAGAGAUGCGGAGGAACACCGAUGGCGAAGGCAGCCUCCUGGGAUAACACUGACGCUCAUGCACGAAAGCGUUGGGAGCAAACAGG